Myotis brandtii (Brandt's bat) is the source of this 226-nucleotide long non-coding RNA. RefSeq lists it as uncharacterized. The record is from RefSeq and is a predicted model, not a curated record. Lineage: Eukaryota; Metazoa; Chordata; Mammalia; Chiroptera; Vespertilionidae. The transcript is spliced from 3 exons.
GGGAUCCAGCAGAAGUUACCUUUCCAUAAGACAGGGUAGUUGGGAGAGGCAGCAGUUACAUUUCCAUGAGAUAAGGGAACUGGGCGUAGCAAAAGGUCUAUAUUUACAAAAUAAAGAAGAAGGGCCUCACAUACCAUGUGAGGUUUGACCUUUGAGCUCAGAAGUUGCUAUAGUAACCAAAUCAAAGGAGAACAGUGGCCAAUCAAUCAGAGAGGAUAUUGAGGCA